Molecule: long non-coding RNA, 904 nt
Filed under: Physcomitrium patens
Lineage: Eukaryota; Viridiplantae; Streptophyta; Bryopsida; Funariales; Funariaceae
Description: long non-coding RNA (PPAT_LNC003409)
Source: RNAcentral
UCAUGCCUUUAAUCAAUUCCUCAAGAGUAUCUUUGGAAAGAGUCUUAUAUGUCUCUUAAAUUAAAGUCGAUGUCACUAGACUUGAUAGAAUAAUUGACAUCAUAGGUGGUAGAGCUUCAAGCUUCAAAGUCCCUUCUCUUACUUAUAUUUUCUAUUACUUAGUCACCAAUAGCACUGUAUCCUCCACUCUCUUCAAAUCAUUAGUUAAACCUCUUUUAAUAGACUUAUCAAUCAAGAGCACAAAGAGCAUAUCUUCUAGUGCUUCAUUUGUUGCUUGCAAAAAGACCUUGGUCUUUCUUACACCUAAUAAAAAUCUCUCUAAAGAUGAAAAUUGAGAGAAUUUUUUUUCAAAUUCCCUAAGCAAUUUAUUAAGAGCCAUAGACCUCCCUGGUUGUUACUCAACUCACUCCAAAAAUAAUAUCUUGGUGACUCUAUUAGAAUCUUUGUAAUAAAAUUCAUCUUUCAACUUCUUUUUAAAAUCACUCUAUGCCUCUAAAUUGCCUCCAUGCAAAUUCUUCACUCUCUUCUUAAUUCGAAGAAUGUAUACUAACUCAAAAUUGUAAAUAUAGCCACUCUCAAGAACUUUAUGUACCUCUAUUUUUUCUACAUAUACUCAGAGAAAUUUAGUGAUGUCCCUCUUAUCAAACCUCUAAUGAUUAUUAACCAUACAUUGUAAUGCCUUGGUCACCUCUUUUUACUUUUUUGUACCUUUUUUUGUCUCUCCAAGAACAUACUCAAAGCUAAGAGCCAAUCAUUGGCACUUGUUCUUCCAUUCCUACUUGUACUGGCCUCUCCAAAAUUGUCCAUCAUCUUUGAAUGUCAAAAAACCUUUUACUUCCUCUUUUCUACUUUUGAAUUUUUUUUCAUGCUCUAAGCUUGCACCCUAUCUCUAUAACUCCAUUAU